RNAcentral lists this ribosomal RNA (28 nucleotides) under Canavalia rosea. RNAcentral's name for it is "partial 26S ribosomal RNA". The record is from RNAcentral. Lineage: Eukaryota; Viridiplantae; Streptophyta; Magnoliopsida; Fabales; Fabaceae.
UGAGACCUCAGGUCAGGCGGGAUUACCC